This 87-nucleotide transfer RNA is filed under the name bacterium K02(2017). It matches the Rfam family "tRNA". From Rfam's summary of the family: Transfer RNA (tRNA) molecules are approximately 80 nucleotides in length. The record is from Rfam by way of RNAcentral.
GGAAGAGUGGCCGAGCGGCUUAAGGCAACGCCUUGCUAAGGCGUCGUGCGGGCAACCGUACCGAGGGUUCGAAUCCCUCCUCUUCCG